This is a long non-coding RNA of Chinchilla lanigera (long-tailed chinchilla), 310 nucleotides long. RefSeq lists it as uncharacterized. The record is from RefSeq and is a predicted model, not a curated record. Lineage: Eukaryota; Metazoa; Chordata; Mammalia; Rodentia; Chinchillidae. The transcript has 2 exons.
CGAGAAGCCAGCUUGUGCCACAGCAGAACAUCUCCUUGGCACAAGAUCUAGGUGUAACCUGUGCUCAUUUUCAGCAAGGCGUCACCCAGCACUGCAGGUUCUUCCUGUCCUCAUCUGUACCUGCUUCUCCCACAAGAUUCCAAGCUGCUAAGCACAUAGUGUUAUUUGUCACCUAGUUAUCCCCCGAACUCACAAGACUGUCCUGGAACUGCUAUACCCAUGCCUGCUGAGCUUGGUUUCCCCAGAGUUCUUGACAGCCAGCCUGAACUACAUAACAAGAAAAGAAAGUGUAUGCGGGAAAAAGAAAAAA